UGACAUAUCUGGUAAGCCAACUCCCUAGUAUGACACAAAACAAGGGCAAUAACUUGGCCAGAUGUAGGCUCAAUUUGCUGAAGAGUAGACAGAACAAAUACAGCAGUCUUCCCCAUCCCAGAUUUAGCUUGGCAGAUAACAUCCAUGCCCAAGAUGGCUUGAGGGAUACACUCAUGUUGAACUUCAGAAGGAUGCUCAAAUCCCGAGUCCACAAUGGCCCGUAGAAGCUCUGGCUUCAAAAGAAAGUCUCUGAAUCCGGAACUGUGUAUUCCAACAUAGCCCUUCUUGGCGGAUUCGCCAUUGACUUUGGCAGCAACAGAGUCUGGGGCUUUCUCUUCUUCUUCCUCGUAGUCGAGAAGCUCCUCCUCGUAAGCAUCGUUGUCCCUUGUUUCACCCAUGUUCUGCUAGGCUCUGAAAAAAAGGUGGAUUUGGGUUUUAGGAUUACGGUUUGGAAAGUCUGCAAAGGAAAAUGGUUAGCGAGCUAAAAGAAAUUGGGACAAGAUUUUGAGUGUAAGGAGACCCCAGCA
RNAcentral lists this unclassified non-coding RNA (527 nucleotides) under Hevea brasiliensis (rubber tree). Lineage: Eukaryota; Viridiplantae; Streptophyta; Magnoliopsida; Malpighiales; Euphorbiaceae. The record is from RNAcentral.